GGCAGGUAUGUUCAGCCCAGGAGAAGUGCCACAAAGGACCUGCUUCCCACAGGCAGCCUCUUCAGGCACAGUUUUCUUUCCUGGCCCCUCCAGGACUGAGAGAGGACAGGCACUAUGCCUCUACAAAUGCAUCUGGUGGGCUCUCUUUUUCAGAGCCCUCUUGUUAUCAAGGGCCUGAUCUUACAAAAUGCUGCAUUGUGCCAUCAGUUUCUACUGACUUUGGUGGAGGGACCACACCACACCACAGAUCUGGGCCUUGAGAUGUUCCAAGGAAAGGUUACUUUGAUUGGGAAUUACAGUAGGGGUUAACAACAUUCUUUUGUCUGUAGAGGCUGAGAGAGCAGCAGAUGCAGAGAGAGCAGCAGCUCAGAGUGUGCUGGUUGGUCUGUGUCACUGCCUGUGGAUUCAAGGAGCCUGUGGAUUCGAGGAGCAGUGGCCAGCUUGCAGGGGAGAAGGAUGAGACUGGAUGUUUGCACUCUACAGUGGUGUUCAGAGCCAACAACUGUACAACCUGAAAGGGAGAUACUAAAACUGGCACCUGCCCUUUGUUCCACAGCUUAGAUGAUCCUGGCUCACAUUAGUGAGGCUGCAUCCAAUAUAAAGCUAGAGACAACACUACAACCCCAGCCUUCCUGUUCCUUACCCCUCCAGCACUCUUUGGCACCAGGCAGGACAGCAGAAUCACUCGGACAAUUUGCAUCCAGGAUGUGCAGUGCCUUCCUCAGCUCCCAGUCUCACAGCCUCCUCCUGCCUGCCAUGUUCUCAGCAUGACACUGGGAACAAAGGGCAUCUGGGGGCCUGCAGCGUGGCUGCUCCCUCCUGUGCUCCCAGCAGGUGCAUGGAAGCACGGCCGCUGUGUGUCGGAACAAAUGGGUGCUCACAGCUGUCUGCCAGGCUGGGCUGCAUUGCUGUACCCCGGAGAAGGCAGGGCAUGAGCAGUGGGAAUGGGAUGCUGUGCUGUGGGCAGGCUCAUAUUGUGCCAGGCUUAGCAAUUAGCUAGCUCGUCCACUGAAUAAAGCAGACUGUGACCAGGCUUCUUGGCACGGUGUGGCUAUUGUACGGCAGAUGGUACACGGGGUAUAAUGGACUAAGAAAAUAUUCUGAGUGGGGAAAAUGUCACAGCUAAAAAUGGCACCACAGCUGACGUGGCUCUGGAGAAGCAGAGGCCAACUGAAAAAGCCUUUUAUGCAGACAGUGGGUACCAGCAAAAGAUGAAGACAGUCAUAAGACUUUUUCUUUCCUCCCAUUCUGAAUCAGUUGAUAUGUCUCAGACUUUUGAAUUGUGACCAAGUAAAGAGAAGAGGUGAAGAGUACAUUUUCUUGUUCUGUUUUUAGUAUGUGAAUACAAAUUAAAUAUGCAAACUAAGACACCAACUUUUUCCAUCAAGGGAGUUAACAUGGUCCCUGAUGAAUUGCUGUGCACUGAGUGGGGUCAGAGAAUAUUAUUAACUAGACAAUACAAAACUGACCAAUUAUAUAGAUUGAUUCUAAUUUGCAAGGCAGAGGGAAACCCCCAGGCUGGUUUAGGACAUUUAAGAAGGUUGAACAACUGUCCAGUACUGUGGAGGCACAAGAAAAUGAAAUCUAAAAACGAGAAGAAAUGCAGAAACAUGCCAGAGCUCAAAAUGUGCUGAUGUAGAGACUUUGGCAAACAUUGUUAGCCAAGACAAUGCAGCAUUUGAAAGAAGGAUGCAAAAUCACUCACGGGUUGUAUUACUUGCUAGUGGAAUGCAAAGAGUGUAGGUUGGACUGGAGGAUAGUGAGAUUCAGGAAGAAAGAAAAAGUGAAUACUGCUUCAGCUGAAGCAAAUCUCUCUUAAACCACAUAGUUGUGUUAGCAAAGAGUCAGUGAGUCACAAGCUGAUAUGAUCCACAAAUAUAAGAAUAUCAACAUACAGUGCUGAUAUGACUGAAGAGAAACAGAUAAAGCCUAAGUCAUGGUGGUAAGGGAUGCAGAUUGACAAUCUUGGUAAGUUGUGAGUGGGCUGUAUUAGUCUGCUGGGUGCAGACAUGGGGAGGAUACUAAUUGUUAUGGGAAUCUGUGGUUUACCUACUUGCUGACCUCCUAAGGUGAAUGUGCCAUUAGAGAGGAAGGAGGCCAUAAAAAAUAAAAGAAAAUUGAGUGUGUGUGUUCACAGAUCAGCAGUAUUUGUAACAGCAGCAAACAGAGACAGCCCCACUGUCCCAUACCAUUAGUAUAACUCUCCUUGCCCUGAGGCAGAAGUCUGGGGAGAGACAGGCAAAUUGAUUACACUGUGAAUCACAAAAUCAAUAGGGGAGUUAACAGCAUAGAUACCCAUUUGCUCAUUGUUCUGAGAGAAGGCAGAAAUCCAGAAUUAUCCACUUCAUAUAUGAACCCAAAGUAAUUUAAUAAGCAUUUUGAAAGGGAGCAUUUUUCCUUGACCUGGGAGAAAAAUGCUUGAAGAAUUCAAACUUUUUUUUUAAGCUUGGUGUACCACCGAAGUUCUGAAAGCCUAAAAAGGGUACAUAUAUGCAUUUAAACCUUGUGCAUUGCUGGGACACUGCUUUCUCAGAUAAACUGUGGGACUUGGACCUGCAGCAUGGCCCCCAAAUGACUGAAUGUUGGGAUAGUCUUGUUUGUGCACCAUUUCCCCUUCUCUCUCUUGAAAUCCUUGUUUUCAUUAAAGAAGAGAAUAGCUUUGCAGGCAGGGAGAAAGCCAGAAGGGUCUCCAUGGGUACUUCCUUGUGUUAUGGAGUAUACUCAUCCUGAUAGCUUUAAGAUGCUACUUGGGAUUUGUUUUUGCUCCUGAGAAAUUUCACCAGAAAAUGCAAAGAACAGUAAAUGGUAAAGAGAGCAAAUGUUUCUACAGAGCAUUGCUUUGGCAGCCUGGGUCACUGCCUGGGUCUCCUGCUCUCAGAAACAGUGGUGAGAGAGAUACUCCACUGAGUGAUGCACGCUGGGGGUGACCAGUCCUGUGCAGGAUGCUGAGGAGCCCUGGCUGUGCUCCCUGGGAAGGGAGCAGUGCUGCACUUUUUGGGAGGCUCCUCUGCAGAGUCCCACACUGCACAGGGGUUCAUGGUUGCAGCCAGCAGACUGCACAAGGCAGACCUCUGUGCCUGCUUGGCUCAGGGUGAGUUCUGAACCAGGAAAUCAAGCCCAUCAACAAGUCAUCUCCUAUCCAGCCCUUUCCCCCAUUUUCCAUAAUGUCCUUCUUUAUUAUACUCCUACCCUUAAGUAAAUUGACUUGCCUGGCUUUCUCCCUUCAGUGAUGCAAGCUACCAUGUAGCUUGUUGUCUGUAUGUGAUAAACAUUUCCUUCCUUCUCUAGCUUAUUGUCUUUAGACUGCAGAUAUUUGAGGGCAGGUUUGAUUUUCUGUAUGCUUACAUGGUACUUACAAUAGCAGAAUCCAAAUUUGGGCUGAAACUAUCAGGAUUUAGUCAUCCUUAUUCUUAAUUAUCAUUUAUAAAAGAUAAGUUCCACAGGUAAAUGCUCUGUAAAAAGCACUGCUUCCUCCACUGACCUUGGUUCUUGCUGUGCCUCAUUUGCAUUGAGGAUGUGUUGGAGGAAAUUGCUGUACACACAACAUGGAGUUAAUUGCACUUUAUUAUACCCUUAUUCAACAGCUCUCUUUUUUUUUUCUUUUAAUUUCUCCUUUUCCUUUUUCUGUUAAGCCCUCAGAAAAAUGUAGAUAAUUCACAUUAUUUUUUUAUAUGAGCAGCUUCUCUGUCAUCUUGUCCUGCUGACUAGUGAGUUCAAACAGUUUCACAUCACUCUUCACAUACAGCUCAGCAGAGUAUGUCAUCCAGCCCCUUCCCUUCAGCCAUUUGCUCUCAUCUCAGCAACUUCUUAGUCUAAAAAAGAUCCUAAAUUUCAUUAAUUGGUCUGUGAGCCAACAUAUAAUGCAGCCUGUUUUGUGAGGCUGCACAGAAAGAGGGGAACCUCAUUCACUGUAAACUAAUGUUUUAAUUUCUUUUAACCAAGUGGUUCUUACAGAUACUUGUGCAAAGAAAGCAUCUGUGCUCUGUAGAUCCACUCUCAGUGCUUAUUUUCCAAUUUUCGGUCACGUUCCCUUCAGAAAGUAGGUGUGAGAGGAAGAGCAGCCCAGCUGAAGCAAAGAAGUGAGGAGAGGAGAAUUAUGUUUGAAUUGCAAGUCCAUUUCCCACACAUGACAUGUGUGAGAAAAAACACAGAGGUUGAUGGGCUUCUGCUUUGGUUCCAAAAAACAAAAAACUACGGAAUCUUUAACCAGCAGAGAAGUACAGGUAGAGUAAAUCAUUGCUUAGAGAGUUGAUUUGGUUGAAGAUCCUUACUAUGACAUGAAUACAAAGGUCAAGUGGUGCACAACAGCAAAAGUGCUCCGGCUGUCUGUUCUCCAGUUUUCUUUGUUCCUUAGAGUUACCUGGACAGUACAGGAUUUUCAUAAAGUUGGCUAGGAAAUGCAUGGUAGUGUCUUAUACACAGAAAAUCUCUUUGGAGAAACUUAAGCUGCAGGUCCCAUCCUCAGUCUCCUGAGACAGAGGAGGAUUAAGCAGUAGAGAGUGAUGGACAGGCUCUCCAAGGGAUUUGUAUCACUGAGCUGAGAUACUGAGAGUAGCUAGGGCUAAAUGGCUGCAAGGGCAUAGACAAAGAAGAAAAUGCUGGAUUAAGCAGCUCUGGAUGUAUUUUGGCCACUCUUGCAGUCUGUUUAGGCUAUGAAAAGAGGACCAGAGGGAGGUAGGCUCUGGUUUUUCGUGGUGCUGGAGUUUCUUGUCUGUGUUUGCUUGCUUUCAGCUCUGUUCUCUCAGGCAGAGCGUAGAGGGAGACUGCAUGUGAGACCUGGCUGAGAGCUUCAGGCAGUCAGAGGUGACUCCCUUCUUGUUUUUCCCAAGCAUGUCUAUCUGACUCAGGGCUCUUGAUACAACAUACCAUACAGUAGUGUGAGGCUCACAUUCCUAAUCAGUAUAAAUACUAAGGUUUGCUCACUUUGCAUGACUUGGCUUUAUCUCUCAAGAAAGCUUUCAUUGUCUUGCUUCGAGUUCCUCAAGUGCCUACAAAGAAAAGUGCUCAGUUGGCCCUAAAGUAGGGAACAAAUGCAGUAGAAGAAA
Passer domesticus (house sparrow) is the source of this 5045-nucleotide long non-coding RNA. RefSeq lists it as uncharacterized. Lineage: Eukaryota; Metazoa; Chordata; Aves; Passeriformes; Passeridae. The record is from RefSeq and is a predicted model, not a curated record. The transcript has 3 exons.